GGGGGCAUAGCUCAGUUGGGAGAGCAGCAGACUGAAGCCUCAUCUUCAAGGAAAAUCAUCUUUCUGAAGGUCCCGCGUUCAAUCCGCGGUGCCCCCA
Molecule: non-coding RNA, 97 nt
Organism: Lyophyllum atratum
Lineage: Eukaryota; Fungi; Basidiomycota; Agaricomycetes; Agaricales; Lyophyllaceae
Source: the annotation of a GenBank genome assembly